AGUGAACGCUGGCGGUAGGCCUAACACAUGCAAGUCGAACGGCAGCACAGGAGAGCUUGCUCUCUGGGUGGCGAGUGGCGGACGGGUGAGGAAUACAUCGGAAUCUACUCUGUCGUGGGGGAUAACGUAGGGAAACUUACGCUAAUACCGCAUACGACCUACGGGUGAAAGCAGGGGACCUUCGGGCCUUGCGCGAUUGAAUGAGCCGAUGUCGGAUUAGCUAGUUGGCGGGGUAAAGGCCCACCAAGGCGACGAUCCGUAGCUGGUUUGAGAGGAUGAGCAGCCACACUGGAACUGAGACACGGUCCAGACUCCUACGGGAGGCAGCAGUGGGGAAUAUUGAACAAUGGGCGCAAGCCUGAUCCGGCCAUACCGCGUGGGUGAAGAAGGCCUUCGGGUUGUAAAGCCCUUUUGUUGGGAAAGAAAUCCAGCUGGCUAAUACCCGGUUGGGAUGACGGUACCCAAAGAAUAAGCACCGGCUAACUUCGUGCCAGCCGCCGCCGUAA
RNAcentral lists this ribosomal RNA (506 nucleotides) under uncultured bacterium. Its description in RNAcentral is "partial 16S ribosomal RNA". It matches the Rfam family "Bacterial small subunit ribosomal RNA", at positions 29 to 523 of the family's 1533-position model. The record is from RNAcentral.